GCCGCUCUGGGCCGCAGCCCGGGCCCUGACUGCAUUUCCGCCGGCGCCCGAGCGAUGAAGGGCGGGUCCUGCAUCCGAGGCAUCCCCGAUCCAUCCAGCAUCUUCUCGCGCAGUCUUCUUCGACCCGCUGCCACAGUCCCGGCGCCCCAGGCCCUGCGCAGAUGAAGACCCUCCCCCGGACGGCUUUGCGGGCCCUGCCUCAGCCGGCGCCCCCUUCUCUCCUGCAGGACCCGGACCCGCACUGCAGGGGCUGAGUGCCCUCUGGUCGGCGUCUGAGUCUUGCCUCCCCGUAGGCUCAGUACCUGGCACGUGUCCAAGGCUCAGCAGCUGUACCACAACCACCCAACAGGAGAGAAGGAAAGGAGAGGUGCACCCCGGGGAUGUGGUGAGGCCAUCCCGUCAUGGGGAAUCAGAAAAGGACUGCGUCUUAGCCAGCCAGCUGGGGGAAGAGGAGGCAGCACCGGGCAGAGGGGCCCUUGAGAGAUGUCACCAUCCUGUUAAGAAAGGGCUGGACCACAGCGCUGCAGAGAUGAGUCCACGGUGUGCAGAGGCCGUCGUGGAAGUUGUCGUGUCAGCAGCGCUGUAGACCGCAGUGUCCUUGAGUGUUCAUUCUGACUCUUCUCUGGGAGCAUUGAGAUUCCUUUUUGAGCCAAGAUUGGUGUGGAAAAAAACACUGCAGCUCAUCUCUGACUAAUUGGGGACGCUUUCAUGGAUGUCACCUUAAAGAAAGAUGAGGGGUGCUGCUUUGGAAGAAGCCUCGGGGGUCAGAACCACUCGCCCUCUCAAGGUGAGGACCUGGGUCCCAGCUCCCCCGGAGGGUCCUCCUCAUGGUAUUUAGGGGCUGACCGCGGACACUGGCGUAGCAGCGUGAAGCAGGAUGUUGUCGCAUGACCAUCGCCAAACCUUUCUCUUCUGUUGCCUCAGCACAGCGUGGAAGGACUCUGCCCUCUGUGUGAACAGGGCAGAGGGGAAGUUCUGGGGCUCCAGGGACUUGGGGUUCAGAGCUGGAGACCUUCUACUGGCUCCCAGCAGGUGCCUCAGAACACUGCUGACCAGGAAGACUGUCUCUUCCCAUCUGGACCAGGUCAUCCCGUGGCUUCUGUGUCUCCCAUUUGCUCCUAGUAUAACUUUUUAGAACCAGGAGUUCCUGUUGGAGUCUUGUGUGCCGUGCAUCUUAUCUUCUCACCCACUUAAAUAAAUCUCGAAACUGCC
RNAcentral lists this long non-coding RNA (1212 nucleotides) under Sus scrofa (pig). Its description in RNAcentral is "lncRNA (ENSSSCG00050017688.1)". The record is from RNAcentral. Lineage: Eukaryota; Metazoa; Chordata; Mammalia; Artiodactyla; Suidae.